GACGAACGCUGGCGGCGUGCUUAACACAUGCAAGUCGAACGGAGCGAAUGAAAGCUUGCUUUUAUGAGCUUAGUGGCAAACGGGUGAGUAACACGUAGACAACCUGCCGACAGGAUGGGGACAACAUUCCGAAAGGAAUGCUAAUACCGAAUGAAGCGGAGGAGAGGCAUCUCUCCUCCGUGAAAGAUGGCCUCUAUUUAUAAGCUAUCACCUGUCGAUGGGUCUGCGUCUGAUUAGCUAGUUGGUGAGGUAACGGCUCACCAAGGCGACGAUCAGUAGCCGGUCUGAGAGGAUGAACGGCCACAUUGGGACUGAGACACGGCCCAGACUCCUACGGGAGGCAGCAGUGGGGAAUCUUCCGCAAUGGGCGCAAGCCUGACGGAGCAACGCCGCGUGAGUGAAGAAGGUCUUCGGAUCGUAAAGCUCUGUUGAUGGGGACGAAUGUACGGAGUGCGAAUAGUGCUCUGUAAUGACGGUACCAUC
RNAcentral lists this ribosomal RNA (483 nucleotides) under Centipeda infelix. RNAcentral describes it as "bacterial SSU rRNA". It matches the Rfam family "Bacterial small subunit ribosomal RNA", at positions 28 to 483 of the family's 1533-position model. Lineage: Bacteria; Bacillati; Bacillota; Negativicutes; Selenomonadales; Selenomonadaceae. The record is from RNAcentral.